RNAcentral lists this ribosomal RNA (472 nucleotides) under uncultured bacterium. Its description in RNAcentral is "bacterial SSU rRNA". It matches the Rfam family "Bacterial small subunit ribosomal RNA", at positions 331 to 793 of the family's 1533-position model. The record is from RNAcentral.
CCAGACUCCUACGGGAGGCAGCAGUGGGGAAUAUUGCACAAUGGGCGCAAGCCUGAUGCAGCCAUGCCGCGUGUAUGAAGAAGGCCUUCGGGUUGUAAAGUACUUUCAGUCGGGAGGAAGGUGGUAAGGUUAAUAACCUUAUCAAUUGACAUUACCGACAGGAGAAGCACCGGCUAACUCCGUGCCAGCAGCCGCGGUAAUACGGAGGGUGCAAGCGUUAAUCGGAAUUACUGGGCGUAAAGCGCACGCAGGCGGUCUGUCAAGUCGGAUGUGAAAUCCCCGGGCUCAACCUGGGAACUGCAUUCGAAACUGGCAGGCUGGAGUCUUGUAGAGGGGGGUAGAAUUCCAGGUGUAGCGGUGAAAUGCGUAGAGAUCUGGAGGAAUACCGGUGGCGAAGGCGGCCCCCUGGACAAAGACUGACGCUCAGGUGCGAAAGCGUGGGGAGCAAACAGGAUUAGAUACCCCCAUACCG